This is a non-coding RNA of Caerostris extrusa, 89 nucleotides long. Lineage: Eukaryota; Metazoa; Arthropoda; Arachnida; Araneae; Araneidae. The record is from the annotation of a GenBank genome assembly.
AACGACCAUACCAUGCUGAAUAUACCGGUUCUCGUUAGAUCACCGAAGUCAAGCAUCGUUGGGCGCGGUCAGUACUUGGUUGGGUGAAC